GUUCACUAUGGCUCACUGAACGCUGGCGGGAUGCUUUACACAUGCAAGUCGAACGGCAGCACGGACUUCGGUCUGGUGGCGAGUGGCGAACGGGUGAGUAACGUAUCGGAACGUGCCUAGUAGCGUGGAUAACUACGCGAAAGCGUAGCUAAUACCGCAUACGCCCUUCGGGGGAAAGCGGGGACCUCGGGCCUCGCACUAUUAGAGCGGCCGAUAUCGGAUUACGUAGCUGGUGGGGUAACAACGACCACCAAGGCGACGAUCCGUAGUCAGUUUGAGAGACGACCAGCCACACUGGGACCGGCGACACGCCCAGACUCCUACGGGAGGCAGCAGUGGGGAAUUUUGACAAUGGGGAAACCCCGAUCCAGCCAUCUCGCGUGUGCGAUGAAGGCCUUCGGGUUGCAAAGACUUUUGGCAGGAGAAAUGGCACGGAUAAUACCCGCAACUGAUUGUACCUGCAGAAUAAGCACCGGCCAACUACGCGCCAGCAGCCGCGGUAAUACGUAGGGCAUGCGUUAAUCGAAUUUACUGGCGAAGCGUGCGCAGGCGGUUCGGAAAAAGAAAGAUGAACCUGCUAGAGCUUAAUCUUUGAACCGCAUUUUAACUGAGCUAGAGUGUGUCAGAGGGAGGUGGAAUCUCCGCGUGUGCGAAUGCGUGGACAUGCGGAGGAAUCACUGAUGGCGAAGGUGUUCUCCUGGGAUAACACCGACGCUCAUGCACGAAAGCGUGGGGAGCAAACAGGAUUAGAUACCCUGGUAGUCCACGCCUCGGAACAGAUGUCACAACUAGCUGCCAGCCCGGCCUGGUAGCGUGUGAAGACAAGGUAGUUGACCGCCUGGGGAGUACGGUCGCAAGAUUAAAACCAAGGAAUUGACGGGGACCCGCACAAGCGGUGGAUGAUGAUUAAUUCGAUGCAACGCGAAAACCUUACCUACCCUGACAUGUCUGGAAUCCUUAGAGAUUUGGGAGUGCUCGCAAGAGAACUGGAACACAGGUGCUGCAUGGCUGCUCGCCUCAGCUCGUGUCGUGAGAUGUUGCUGUCCCACGAGCGCAACUCUGUCAUUAGCUGCUUACAGCAAGCACUUCCACUGAGAUCGCCGGCAGACGAACCGGAGGAAGGUGGGAUGAUGUCAAAUCCUCAUGGUCUUAUGGGUAGGGCUUCACACGUCAUACAAUGGUCGGGACAGAGGGCUUCGCCAACCCAAGCAGGGGGAGCCAAUCCCAGAAACCCGAUCGUAGUCCGGAUCGCAGUCUGAACUGACUGCGUGAAGUCGGAAUCGCUAGUAAUCGCGGAUCAGCAUGUCGCGGGGUAGUAUGUCCCGGGUCUUGCAUACACCGCCCGCACUACACCAUGGGAGUGGGUUUCUACCAGAAGCAGUUAGCCUAACCGUGGCAGAGGCGAUUACCGACGGUAGGAUUCAUGACUUCGGGGGUCGUAACAGGUAG
Molecule: ribosomal RNA, 1449 nt
Filed under: uncultured Bordetella sp.
Lineage: Bacteria; Pseudomonadati; Pseudomonadota; Betaproteobacteria; Burkholderiales; Alcaligenaceae
Description: partial 16S-23S ribosomal RNA intergenic spacer
Rfam family: Bacterial small subunit ribosomal RNA
Source: RNAcentral